AAUCUCACCAUGUUGGGUAAGCUUGCAGGCUCCAAACAUUCUUUAUGACAGACAGCUUCUUUAUCAGCUUGGGCUUACCUUCUUCUUUUUCGGUAUGGAUUUCCAAGUUGCGUCCAACCUUUUGUUUCUCAGCUGUGUCACCUUCCAGGUUGCCUCGGGAGAAAGUCCUGGGUUGCAUCUUUUACUCACUGUCCACUAGUCUCUCAUUUCUCCAACAUCAUCUACUUUCAUCUGUAACUUACAAAAAAUAAAAACAACCACACAACGACAAACAAAAUAACACACAGACACAAUAAAAAUAAAAUAUAAAGCAAUUCAAUUAAAAUAUAAAGCAAUUAAAAAC
This 343-nucleotide long non-coding RNA is filed under the name Lathyrus oleraceus (garden pea). RNAcentral describes it as "Pisum sativum (pea) long non-coding RNA (PSAT_LNC035880)". Lineage: Eukaryota; Viridiplantae; Streptophyta; Magnoliopsida; Fabales; Fabaceae. The record is from RNAcentral.